RNAcentral lists this ribosomal RNA (843 nucleotides) under uncultured Chloroflexota bacterium. RNAcentral describes it as "bacterial SSU rRNA". It matches the Rfam family "Bacterial small subunit ribosomal RNA", at positions 527 to 1382 of the family's 1533-position model. The record is from RNAcentral. Lineage: Bacteria; Bacillati; Chloroflexota.
GUAGGAGGCAAACGUUAUCCGGAUUUACUGGGCGUAAAGCGCGUGUAGGUGGUACUGUAAGUAGGGCGUGAAAGCUCCUGGCUCAACUGGGAGAGGCCGUUCUAAACUACAGAACUAGAGGAUGGUAGAGGGAGGUGGAAUUCCAGGUGUAGCGGUGGAAUGCGCAGAUAUCUGGAGGAACACCGGUGGCGAAGGCGGCCUCCUGGACCAUUCCUGACACUCAGACGCGAAAGCUAGGGUAGCAAACGGGAUUAGAGACCCCGGUAGUCCUAGCCCUAAACGAUGUAGACUAGGCGUCGGAAGCUUAAUCGCUUUCGGUGUCCAAGCUAACGCGAUAAGUCUACCGCCUGGGGACUACGGCCGCAAGGUUAAAACUCAAAGGAAUUGACGGGUCCCCGCACAAGCAGCGGAGCGUGUGGUUUAAUUCGUUGCUACACGAAGAACCUUACCUGGGUUUGACAUAGCAGUGGUAGGGAAGCGAAAGCGGACCGACCCUUCGGGGAGCUGUUACAGGUGUUGCAUGGCUGUCGUCAGCUCGUGUCGUGAGAUGUUCGGUUAAGUCCGCUAACGAGCGCAACCCGCGUUGUGUGUUACAAGUGUCACACAAUACCGCCGGUAUUAAGUCGGAGGAAGGUGCGGAUGACGUCAAGUCAGCAUGACCUUUAUAUCCAGGGCUACACACACGCUACAAUGGUCAGCACAAUAGGUUGCCAAGCCGCGAGGUGGAGCCAAUCCAUAAAGCUGGCCUCAGUUCAGAUUGCAGGCUGCAACUCGCCUGCAUGAAGUUGGAGUUGCUAGUAACCGCGCGUCAGCAAUAGUGCGGUGAAUACGUUCCCGGGCCUU